Chelonoidis abingdonii (Abingdon island giant tortoise) is the source of this 147-nucleotide non-coding RNA. Lineage: Eukaryota; Metazoa; Chordata; Testudines; Testudinidae. The record is from RefSeq and is a predicted model, not a curated record.
GUCAGCCUCACCUCAGUCCUUGGAAAAAUCCUGGAGCAGGUCCUCAAGGAAUCCAUUUUGAAGCAUUUGGAGAAGAGGAAGUUGAUCAGAAACAGUCAUCAUGAAUUCACCAAGGGGAAGUCAUGCUUGACAAACCUGAUUGCCUUC